RNAcentral lists this ribosomal RNA (460 nucleotides) under uncultured bacterium. Its description in RNAcentral is "partial 16S ribosomal RNA". It matches the Rfam family "Bacterial small subunit ribosomal RNA", at positions 338 to 795 of the family's 1533-position model. The record is from RNAcentral.
CCUACGGGAGGCAGCAGUGAGGAAUAUUGGUCAAUGGACGAGAGUCUGAACCAGCCAAGUAGCGUGAAGGAUGACUGCCCUAUGGGUUGUAAACUUCUUUUAUAAGGGAAUAAAGCUCAGCACGUGUACCGUUUUGCAUGUACUUUAUGAAUAAGGAUCGGCUAACUCCGUGCCAGCAGCCGCGGUAAUACGGAGGAUCCGAGCGUUAUCCGGAUUUAUUGGGUUUAAAGGGAGCGUAGGUGGGCUGUUAAGUCAGUUGUGAAAGUUUGCGGCUCAACCGUAAAAUUGCAAUUGAUACUGGGAGUCUUGAGUACAGCUGAGGUAGGCGGAAUUCGUGGUGUAGCGGUGAAAUGCUUAGAUAUCACGAAGAACUCCGAUUGCGAAGGCAGCUUACUAAACUGUGACUGACAUUGAUGCUCGAAAGUGUGGGUAUCAAACAGGAUUAGAUACCCCAGUAGUC